Molecule: ribosomal RNA, 253 nt
Filed under: uncultured bacterium
Lineage: Bacteria
Description: partial 16S ribosomal RNA
Rfam family: Bacterial small subunit ribosomal RNA
Source: RNAcentral
UACGAAGGGGGCUAGCGUUGCUCGGAAUCACUGGGCGUAAAGCGCACGUAGGCGGACUCUUAAGUCGGUGGUGAAAUCCUGGAGCUCAACUCCAGAACUGCCUUCGAUACUGAGAGUCUCGAGUCCGGGAGAGGUGAGUGGAACUGCGAGUGUAGAGGUGAAAUUCGUAGAUAUUCGCAAGAACACCAGUGGCGAAGGCGGCUCACUGGCCCGGUACUGACGCUGAGGUGCGAAAGCUAGGGGAGCAAACGGG